Molecule: unclassified non-coding RNA, 329 nt
Filed under: plant metagenome
Description: partial contains 5.8S ribosomal RNA, internal transcribed spacer 2, and large subunit ribosomal RNA
Rfam family: 5.8S ribosomal RNA (bases 1-105)
Source: RNAcentral
GAAAUGCGAUAAGUAAUGUGAAUUGCAGAAUUCCGUGAAUCAUCGAAUCUUUGAACGCACAUUGCGCCCUCUGGUAUUCCGGGGGGCAUGCCUGUCCGAGCGUCAUUGCGAACCCCUCAAGCACGGCUUGUGUGAUGGGCCCUCCCGCGUCUUGGUCGUCAAGACGGGCCCGAAAUGCAGUGGCGGCUUCGCGGUUAUCCGAUCAGCCAGAGCGUAUGGGGACUUUCUCUCUGUCACACGCCCGCGGCGCGGACCGACGCCUGUCGACCUUUAUUCAUCUUUUUCUCGGUUGACCUCUGAUCAGGUAGGGAUACCCGCUGAACUUAAGC